Molecule: ribosomal RNA, 301 nt
Filed under: uncultured bacterium
Lineage: Bacteria
Description: partial 16S ribosomal RNA
Rfam family: Bacterial small subunit ribosomal RNA
Source: RNAcentral
CAGCAGCCACGGUAAUACGGAGGGGGCUAGCGUUGUUCGGAAUUACUGGGUGUAAAGCGCACGUAGGCGGCUUGGUAAGUUAGAGGUGAAGGCCUGGAGCUCAACUCCAGAAUUGCCUUUAAGACUGCCGAGCUAGCAGGUGAGAGAGGUAAGUGGAAUUCCGAGUGUAGAGGUGAAAUUCGUAGAUAUUCGGAAGAACACCAGUGGCGAAGGCGGCUUACUGGCUCAUACUGGACGCUGAGGUGCGAAAGCGUGGGGAGCAAACAGGAUUAGAUACCCCUGUAGUCCCUGUCUCUUAUAA